Molecule: ribosomal RNA, 490 nt
Filed under: uncultured bacterium
Lineage: Bacteria
Description: partial 16S ribosomal RNA
Rfam family: Bacterial small subunit ribosomal RNA
Source: RNAcentral
AUUGAACGCUGGCGGCAUGCCUUACACAUGCAAGUCGAACGGCAUCAUGAUCUAGCUUGCUAGAUUGAUGGCGAGUGGCGAACGGGUGAGUAAUACAUCGGAACGUGCCCUGUAGUGGGGGAUAACUAGUCGAAAGAUUAGCUAAUACCGCAUACGACCUGAGGGUGAAAGUGGGGGACCGCAAGGCCUCAUGCUAUAGGAGCGGCCGAUGUCUGAUUAGCUAGUUGGUGAGGUAAAGGCUCACCAAGGCGACGAUCAGUAGCUGGUCUGAGAGGACGAUCAGCCACACUGGGACUGAGACACGGCCCAGACUCCUACGGGAGGCAGCAGUGGGGAAUUUUGGACAAUGGGCGAAAGCCUGAUCCAGCAAUGCCGCGUGUGUGAAGAAGGCCUUCGGGUUGUAAAGCACUUUUGUCCGGAAAGAAAUGGCUCUGGUUAAUACCUGGGGUCGAUGACGGUACCGGAAGAAUAAGAACCGGCUAACUACGUG